AUACGAAGGGGGCUAGCGUUGCUCGGAAUGACUGGGCGUAAAGGGCGUGUAGGCGGUUUACACAGUCAGAUGUGAAAUCCCCGGGCUUAACCUGGGAGCUGCAUUUGAUACGUGUAGACUAGAGUGUGAGAGAGGGUUGUGGAAUUCCCAGUGUAGAGGUGAAAUUCGUAGAUAUUGGGAAGAACACCGGUGGCGAAGGCGGCAACCUGGCUCAUGACUGACGCUGAGGCGCGAAAGCGUGGGGAGCAAACAGGAUUAGAUACCCUGGUAGUCCACGCUGUAAACGAUGUGUGCUAGAUGUUGGGUAACUUUGUUAUUCAGUGUCGCAGUUAACGCGUUAAGCACACCGCCUGGGGAGUACGGCCGCAAGGUUGAA
RNAcentral lists this ribosomal RNA (376 nucleotides) under uncultured bacterium. RNAcentral's name for it is "bacterial SSU rRNA". It matches the Rfam family "Bacterial small subunit ribosomal RNA", at positions 523 to 898 of the family's 1533-position model. The record is from RNAcentral.